UUCUCCCCUUUCCCAUUUCUUUCGUUUUUCUCUCCUUUUGCCUCCCCUUUCUGUUUUCUCCCCUUUCGCCUCCCAAUCUCCGAACUCCUUGAACUCCCUUCUCCAGACGACGACGAGGUCCAUCAUCGGCACUGCCCCCUCAUGGUCAUCUCCCCACUCCAAUGCCUCCCGUACCUCUUGUACUACACGACGAACGGGCUACGACCACUGUUUGGAGUCUGCCACUGAAGCCUCCAAAUCUCGCCUUUCCCAGAUUCGUUCCACCUCUUAUCCUCAUUUCCAGAAGGCAAUUGAAAUUACAUAUUACUGCAUGCUUGAUGGGCUUCAAAGCUGUACAAGCCAAGGUGUAAAGUAGAAACACUCUAGUAGUUCUUCUGUCUUCCUUUCUUUCUCUACUUGCAUACUGAAAAUGAGUACUUCUUUCCCUAAAAAAAAUGCUUAAUAGAGAAGUGUUUCAAAAGAGAUAUAUUGUAUCUGAUUUGUUUUCAUGUGUAGGAUGUAAUGCUCUACGGAGUAUCAGAUGCAACAAUCAUACUCAUUGGUUUGGGAGGUUUUGUUGCUUGCAAUACACUUUAAGAAACAAUGAUUCUACCAAAGCUUCACGGCCUUGGGAUAUUGUAAUGUUAGCUUCAUUUUUUUUUUCUCUAGUUAUCUAAAUCAUAGUUUUUGAGUUAACAAAAAAUUUUCCUACAAAUAAAUAAAAUACCAGCAAUGAAGAUAGAAAGUCUUAAAUUUGGGUUAAUUUUCUUAUCUAAAAUUUUUAAUCUUAACUUGCAAAAAGGUGGAAUAAGGAGUUACAGGAUUUGGUAGUUUUUUUUCACAGGAAAAUAUAAUAAUUUCUAUUUUUUGUGGUUUUAUAUGUCGUUUCUCUAAAGAAUGAACAAAAUAGAAGUAAAUGGUGUAUAUACUUCUACUGUGGUUUUUAUGAUAGGAUCUAAGUAUAUUAGCUUCUACAAUUACUUACUAGGUUCUCAUAAUACUCAGUUAUUCAGGUACAAAAUUUAGGAUACGUGUUUUACAGUGUACUUUAGGAAGCUAAUGAAGCAUUUAAUUAUUUGUAUUACCUUAUCAAUACUAUAUAGUAUCUAGCUACUAUUUCUGUUUUUUUUUUCAGCUCCAUAACAUAACCUCACUCACAAGUCUUGUGUGUUGUGAAUGCAAUUACUUGGUGUUCUAUUCUUCAAUGUUUCUUAUUGUUUAUUUGUCAUGAGAAUAUUGGUGUUCUAUUCUUCAAUGUUUUUCUGUUUUGUAGGUUUAAUCAUGCUCUAAGGUCGGUUGCCAAUAUUAUAUAAACUUCACAUAUAUGACUCAUAUUUAACUGAUCUUAGGCAAAAUAUUAUUUCUUUUUUCUUUAUUUCUUGGUGAGAGAUGUUUGCUAUCAUUUGUGAAUGUGUAUUCUACCAUGGUGGUGACUCCUGAAGAAUAUCUUUAGUUGACUCCAUAGUAAGCAACUAUAAUUUUGCUGGCACAUCAUGCCAAAUAUUUUCAUUCAUACAUCCUGUCUUCUUUGGGGAUAUUGCAUUUAGGUACCUAUUAUCUUUUAUGCUAUGAGUUGGUCUAAAUGUACAUUUUGUUGUCUCCAUUAGACUAAGGAUCCACUAUCUUUUCAUUGUAGAUAAUAUAUCGGUCCUCGAAAAUGUUCUGCUUAGUUUUCUUGAUAAUUUAUGUUGCAGACUUAUGAUGGAAUGAUUAUUGGAGAACAUUCUAGGGAAUCAAAUCUAGAUGAAGUAAAGAAAACUUACCAAUAUCCGUUCUGCUUGCAAAGAUGAAAACCUGAAGCUAUCUCCACCUCGACUUAGAUGAGCCUUGAAGAAGUGAUAGGAUAAGUUGCAUCUGAUGAACUUAUUAAGGCUACUUUGGUUGAUUCCUUUCUAGCAGAUCUUGAUGAACUCUCUGAUGAAGACAAGUUUCAGGUUCAACUGGAGUUGACAACUUCAUGACUUUACUUUCAAAGAAAAUUUUCAGAGACGAACAUUCUCGGUUGGUCGUUUAUGCUUUAGCAUAAAAUCUUGUUAUAUGUAUUCUGAUGCUAUUUAAAAUAUUUUUUGAUUAAGGGCCGGGAUUUCGUACUUGUAAAUUGUUGGAACUUGAUUGGAAAUGUACGAAUAUUAUAAAUUGUAUUAUAGCGUAUAUAUUUAAGUGUCGUCUAUUUUUUUCUA
This is a long non-coding RNA of Cucumis sativus (cucumber), 2159 nucleotides long. RefSeq lists it as uncharacterized. The transcript has 7 exons. Lineage: Eukaryota; Viridiplantae; Streptophyta; Magnoliopsida; Cucurbitales; Cucurbitaceae. The record is from RefSeq and is a predicted model, not a curated record.